RNAcentral lists this long non-coding RNA (3745 nucleotides) under Stegodyphus dumicola. RNAcentral describes it as "uncharacterized LOC118202885". The record is from RNAcentral. Lineage: Eukaryota; Metazoa; Arthropoda; Arachnida; Araneae; Eresidae.
UGUAAACGCAUUAUGCUUUUACGCAUGUGAAAAAGUUUGUAGCUUUGAGGUCUGGAUUAUAGAUUAUUCCGGAUUAUGGACGUCCGGAUUAAAGACUUUUGACUGUAUGUGUGAAAUCCACCUAAUCAAAAAAGUCAUUUAAACAUUCAUAAUACACAUUGAAUGUUUCAUAUUCGUAUUCACACUUUAGAGAAAAUCUUUGUGUGUGUUACAUAAAUAAUCAUUCAUUUUCAUAAAGAGGAUUUAAAUAUGGAUGGAAACAUAGGAGAGAACUGUUAUGAGUUACUUAUGUAACAAUCCAUUUAGAGUGAUGAAGAAAAUGUAUGGUUGAUCUACACAGAAAAGAAGUCUCCAGUAUUUUCAGCAUAUGUUAGAAACAACUUUUACUUACUUUUGGAGUAAGUACUUCUCUGUGCAGCUAGAAAAUGUCAUUUGAGGCCAUGUCUGUAUUUUCUAACCAGCUGACAGAGCCAAUAAUUUAGAUAUAGCAAAUUUCUUAGAACCUUGUCUGUGCAGCUAGAAAAUGUCGAGGUCAUUUCUGUAUUUUUCUCACCAGCUGGCAGAAUAAUUUGUAUACAGCAAAUUUCUUAGAAUUUAGAAAGGCAAGUCUGAAUAGCAUAAACCCUACUUGUUACUCUGUGGAAGGAACAUAGAUUCUCAUUUGAUGAAAAUAAAUUAUAAACCAUUUAUUUGUUUCUAAAAGAUGAAAUCUUUUUCAAGAUAUUUUUACAUGAUAAUAAGUGUUUAUAACUGCUGCAUAAUAAAUUCUGGAUAAGAACUUCAAAAACUGAAAUUCUAAAAGGUGCCUAAAUGUUUCAUGCAAUACAUAUGCUGUAAAUCAUAUGUAUUUUGCAUUAAACUUAACUGUUUCUGAAUUUCACACACAAAUUACAGCUGUCACGAUACAGAUAGCAAUACCAUUCUUGGUGCUUGUCAAGAAAACUGUAUUAGGUAUUUCUACUCGUCAUGAACAAGUAUGGAGGCUAUGCAUAUUUGGCUCCAGAAUCAAAUGUGGCAGUGUAUAAAAUUUGCAAAAUCAGUACACCAUAGCAAUACUAGAAAGGCGAAAUGAAAUUGAAAAUCCCAAGUGUGUAUAUUGUAUAAGAAGGAAUUUGGGAAACAUCAUUUCUCUGCAGAUAGUUAAUGCUUCCUGUAAAAGUGCAGAAUAGGUUGCAUCAACAAAGUUUAGUAUGCGGAGCUGUGUGACGUCCAUAAAUGGGUGGGACUAAGCUUAUGACGUCACGAUUUUGAAAGAAAUGGCAUUGUGGUGAUUAGUAUAAAAGCGUAGUUCAGCUAAAGUUUCACAAGAACAAAAGUCAUGCAGUGUGAAACAUUUGAAGAUUAUAUAUGAGAAUCUCCUUGCAAAAGCAGCAUUUUUUAAUACGCUCCUUAGAUAAUUCACGCAUGCAUGCAAAUUAUUUAUUCCAUGUAACAUUUUCAUGAGAGUAAAUAAGCACAUGUAUUGCUAAAUGACCUUUGAAUUUAAAUGAACUGCUAUAUUUAGCAGAUGUUUAUAAUUUAUCACCAGUGUGGGUAAAAAUGUGUUUGAUUCUAACACACAUUUAACUGUAAAUAUGUAGUUACAAAUAUCACAUUCAUGUCAUUUUUCAUUGUUAUUGGAUAAGUAUUUGUCUCUUUAAUGCACUUGUUUGUGCGGAUGAUUUACAAACAUUGCAUUAAUGUAGUUUGUCUGCAGUGUGUGUAAACAAUUUUAUUUUAAUGAUGCCUGCAUGCAAAUAAUUUAUCACAUAUAACUUGUUCGUGUGUGAUUAAGAUGUAUAUUUAAAUAUGACUUUUGAGUAGAAAUGGCAUGAGCACACUGAUGUUGUGUCUUACUUGUGUGGAAAGCAAUAUGUGGCUUUAACACACUUGCAUGUGCAAAUAAUUUACUAUAUAUACCAAUCUUAUGAUUUCUUAUCUCAUUUCUUAUGCAUGUCUUUCUGGAGUGCAUUCCAAUGAAACUGGCAUUUAUGUAUAUAAGUAAAGUUCAGAUUUAUUGCAUAAAAAUGCAAACCUGAAAAAACAACUUUACUAUCCAAAUAAAAAUUAGGACCACAUUGUUUAGAAUUUGAAGAUUUGGUAGAAAAAUGUUCAUAAAAAAAUUAUUUUGGAAUUUUUUUUGAUAAACUUAUUCCUAUUUAUCUCAAAUCCACAACCAAAACAAACAAAAAUUAAAUAACCUUAGUAAAUAUCAGUGUGUUGAAAUAUAAAAAAUUGACUGUGUUUUUGGAAUGUGAGGCAUCCAGUUUAUACACUUGGUAUUUGAAGAAGUCAUCCAGCUGUAUUCAAGCAUUUUGCAUUGAAUGAUCAAUAUAAGUGUUCUUUUAAUUAACUUGUAAAUUGGAAUUUUUAAGACUGAGCAUUGAUGAUUAUUUUCAAACAUCACUUAUCUCUAGUAUUUUGUGAUUUGUUUUAAUUUAAAAAUGUUUUCUUCUAUUACAUACACUUUUUUUUUUUUUUUUCUGUUGCUGUGAAAAGUAAAACAUAUCAUUAGAAAAGACAUUUUGUCUUUAUAGGAUAAUUUGUGAAUCCUUUUUUCAAAUCUUCAUAGCUCUCUACUGGAUGGGUAAUUUUUGACAUGAAUUAAACAUAGGCCUUUUCACUCAUACUGACGGUUCUCUCUUUUGUAUUUAAUACAAAUAACUUCAAAUGUAUAUCUUUUCUUUCUAAUAGGAGCUUAAAAUAUGCCCCGUUAAACAAAUAACUUGCAUUUCUCACAUGUAAUUUUUUUUUAUGUGAAGGGGAGGUCCAAAUUGAAAUACAGAUCACCUAGGUAGUGACCAGGUUACAUAAAGCUAUACUGUAUUUACUUGCAUGUUCUCCCCCCCUCCCCAGGUUUUAUUUUUUCAGAAUAUGAUUUAAAGACUUCUGAUUGAUAGUAACAAUGUAAAAUGACAUAAAAGACUCGUGUUCAAAAAAAAUAAGCAACAGACUCCAAAAGAAAAGGUACGAAUGUAAAGAGGGAAAUUAAAAUAUACAGUUCACACAUGAGGUAAACAUUGCAUCACAGGAGGCAAAUAGAACAACCAAAAUUAGCAUAAAACGCAAUUCUGGGGUCAUACCAAAAUUACUAAAAAAGAGGAGGUAUUCUGGACCUAUGCGUCAGCUUGCAAGCGGUGAUACCAUUACCAUUAUCUUAGCUGCAUGUCCAGCUUCAGCCUUGCGGCUUUAAUGUGAUCAUCUUGAAAAAUUGAGUCGCAGGUACUUUGGAUAAAAAGGACGAAGCACAGAGCCACCUAAAAGCCGAAGAUUAAUCAUAAAAAAUCAUUAUGAGAUGAUAAGUAGUCAUUGCUUAAAUUUAAAAUUGCAGUUGAGAAUGAUAUAUAAAAUCUCCGAUAGUAAGACUUUGCAUUAUUUACAAAAACAUAAGGCAGAAAUAAAAGAAUCUUGGAUAGUUAGUUGUACAAAUAAGCUUGUUUAAAUAUGCAUAAAUAAAAAUAUGAUACAAAUCAGAGAAAAAGUGGGACCUCAAACUCUGGAUCUGACAAUUCGGAGGUGAGAACUUAAUGUGCUGUGCUAAGAGAGUGUGGAGGAAAAUUGAAAAUUCAGGGUAGUCAUUCGGACUUUAGGUUCAGUUACAAUGUACAGUGAGAGGUCGUUUCUACCUCUGCAUAUCUGUGUGGUCGUAAUUUAACCCCUUCGAGCCGGGUAGCGAAAACGCACGCUUAUCGCGGAGGCCGGCAGUGUCUUCCGCGAGCGUCUCUCCAGGGCCGGGGUUUUUUUGCUACUAAACCUAAAUCCAUGA